AUUGAACGCUGGCGGCAUGCCUUACACAUGCAAGUCGAAUGGUAACAGGUCUUCGGAUGCUGACGAGUGGCGAACGGGUGAGUAAUACAUCGGAACGUGCCUAGUAGUGGGGGAUAACUACUCGAAAGAGUGGCUAAUACCGCAUGAGAUCUACGGAUGAAAGCAGGGGAUCGCAAGACCUUGUGCUACUAGAGCGGCCGAUGGCAGAUUAGGUAGUUGGUGGGAUAAAAGCUUACCAAGCCGACGAUCUGUAGCUGGUCUGAGAGGACGAUCGGCCGCACUGGGACUGAGACACGGCCCAGACUCCUACGGGAGGCAGCAGUGGGGAAUUUUGGACAAUGGGCAAAAGCCUGAUCCAGCAAUGCCGCGUGCAGGAUGAAGGCCUUCGGGUUGUAAACUGCUUUUGUACGGAACGAAAAGCCCUGGGUUAAUACCCUGGGGUCAUGACGGUACCGUAAGAAUAAGCACCGGCUAACCACGUGCCAGCCGCCGCCGUAA
RNAcentral lists this ribosomal RNA (498 nucleotides) under uncultured bacterium. RNAcentral describes it as "partial 16S ribosomal RNA". It matches the Rfam family "Bacterial small subunit ribosomal RNA", at positions 30 to 523 of the family's 1533-position model. The record is from RNAcentral.